GAAAAAUUCACUCACUCUCGUGUUUGAACUCUCUUUUAGGUUUUUUUCGAAUGAACUCACGCUCUCUUGCCUUUUACCACUCGACCUCGUCUCAAAAAUUCGUAAUUCGUCUCGAUAGACUUAAUUUGCUGCUUAAGGGUCGGUUUCAAAAUGGGUUACAAGGGAUAAUGUCGGGUGUAGGGUAGGUUGAACAAAGAAGAAAAUUGGUUUAAAAUGUGGCGUUGGGAUGGGUAAAUAAUGGUAGGAAGGGAAACUUGAUGAUCGGAGUAAUAAGUGAUAAUGAUAAAAACUCUCAAGACUUUUCACUUUUUUUUCUUUCUUCUUUUUUUUUAACUCGAUUUUUUUGUCACUUCUUUUUUUUCCUUUUUUUCGAUUUUUUUGAAUUUUUUUCCAAAUUUCUUCUCUUUUUUUUAAAUCCAAUACAAUAGUAAACUAAAUACAAGGAAGAAAAAAAUUUAAAUUCCAACUAAAUUUUUUUUUGAUUUUUUUGACUUUUUUU
RNAcentral lists this long non-coding RNA (499 nucleotides) under Gossypium raimondii (Peruvian cotton). RNAcentral's name for it is "long non-coding RNA (GRAI_LNC000587)". The record is from RNAcentral. Lineage: Eukaryota; Viridiplantae; Streptophyta; Magnoliopsida; Malvales; Malvaceae.